GCCGCCACGUGUCAGUGGGGCCUGCGAACAAGGCAGAGGACCGUCCUUCUUGGACGUACGUUCCGCCUAUAAUUUUUUUUUUUUUUUGGGUUGGGGGACAUGGCAAGGACUGCCUAUUCCCCUGCCCUUAGAACACCUCUAGUGGAUGUGCUUAAUGGGUUCCUUAAUGGUUGCUUAAUCUUAAAUAAAAUAAAUUUUAAUCCAAAAUAAUGGAAAAUAGUUAAGCAUAGUUACUUAAAUUGUGUUCUUAGACC
RNAcentral lists this long non-coding RNA (254 nucleotides) under Capsella rubella. RNAcentral describes it as "long non-coding RNA (CRUB_LNC001676)". The record is from RNAcentral. Lineage: Eukaryota; Viridiplantae; Streptophyta; Magnoliopsida; Brassicales; Brassicaceae.